RNAcentral lists this transfer RNA (77 nucleotides) under Armatimonadota bacterium. RNAcentral describes it as "Armatimonadetes bacterium (fermentation metagenome) tRNA-Pro". It matches the Rfam family "tRNA". Rfam says of the family: Transfer RNA (tRNA) molecules are approximately 80 nucleotides in length. Lineage: Bacteria; Bacillati; Armatimonadota. The record is from RNAcentral.
CGGGGCGUAGCGCAGCUUGGUAGCGCACUCGCUUUGGGAGCGAGUGGUCGCAGGUUCAAAUCCUGUCGCCCCGACCA